This 461-nucleotide ribosomal RNA is filed under the name uncultured bacterium. RNAcentral describes it as "partial 16S ribosomal RNA". It matches the Rfam family "Bacterial small subunit ribosomal RNA", at positions 338 to 795 of the family's 1533-position model. The record is from RNAcentral.
CCUACGGGGGGCAGCAGUGAGGAAUAUUGGUCAAUGGGCGCAAGCCUGAACCAGCCAAGUCGCGUGAGGGCUGACGGUCCUAUGGAUUGUAAACCUCUUUUGUCGGGGAGCAAGGCACGCCACGUGUGGCGGGAAGGAGAGUACCCUAAGAAACAGCAUCGGCUAACUCCGUGCCAGCAGCCGCGGUAAUACGAAGGAGGCGAGCGUUAUCCGGAUUUAUUGGGUUUAAAGGGAGCGUAGGCCGGCUUUUAAGUCAGCUGUGAAAGUCCGCGGCUCAACCAUGGAAUUGCAGUGGAAACUGGAGGACUGGAGUGCACAAAGGGAUGCCGGAAUUCAUGGUGUAGCGGUGAAAUGCUUAGAUAUCAUGAAGAACACCGAUCGCGAAGGCAAGUGUCCGGGGUGCAACUGACGCUGAGGCUCGAAAGUGCGGGUAUCAAACAGGAUUAGAUACCCGGGUAGUC